AUAUUAAAUAACUUAGUUAAUGGUUUAGAAAUAAAGCUAGCAACCUCUUUUAAAAUUCUAGGACUGAUACCGUCAGGUCCAGCUGGUUUGUUAACAUUCAAGAUUUUUAACUGAUCUAAAAUUUCUUUCUCAGUGAUGACAAAUUUAUUUAAAUGACAUGGAGGAGGCUCGUUAUUAUCCGGAACAGAAUUUCUGGUUCUGUAUCAAUAUUAGCUAUAUUAGCAAAAUGAUUGUUCAGGAUCUCUGAUUUGUCCAAUGGAUGAAUAAAAAUUUGGCCAUCAUGUUCCAAAAAAGGGGGGACUCUCUAUUUUUAGUAAAAUUUGAUACAGACUUGGCAAUGCGCCACCAUUUACCAGGAGGAAUAUUUUUGUCAAUAAGUUGAGAUGUCAGUUUGCACUUAUAAUCUUCUUUUGCCUUUCUAACUAAGCUGAUAAUUUCAUUACGAAUUUCUCUAAAUUUUUUCCAGUGAUCUGGAUUAUUUGAAGUUUUCGCUUUG
RNAcentral lists this long non-coding RNA (496 nucleotides) under Mytilus galloprovincialis (Mediterranean mussel). The record is from RNAcentral. Lineage: Eukaryota; Metazoa; Mollusca; Bivalvia; Mytilida; Mytilidae.